UCUUCAAGUGAACAUAUAGCCUCAUGGAUGAUAGUCGUGGGAGGUUGAAUAUAGUCCCUGAUCACUUUCAAGUAUCAACUUCCAGUGAGGACACUCCUCAAAACAUAACUUCAUCUAUCCAACAGCCCAGAAUUGAUAAUUCAUCCAGCUCAAACAGUCAUUUCUGGUCUGGAAGAAAACUAAGAAGUGCUGCAUUCAUGCUGAAUUUGUUUAACCUACAGAGGCUGUCAUGGGGUUCUAGCACCGAUGAUCAGAAAAAGGUUGAGUUACCUGUCAGAGAGUUAGAAUCACUUCGAUCAGAACUUGCAUAUUUAGAAGAGAGGGAAGCUUACUUGAAAGCUCAGUUGGAACAUGUUGAUGAAGUUCUGCGCUCUGCUCGGUUCUCUGGUUAUUUGUACAUCCGAACUAGAUGGACAGCUCUACCUGGGGAGCCGCCACCACUUGAUGAUACUGAUGUGGAUGAUUGGCUUCCUCGCUUUGUUGUCCUUAAUGGACCAUGCAUCUUCUUCUAUUUGUUGUCCACAGAUUUCAGUCCUCAAGAUUCCACUCUACUUGCCGAUAUUGUUGAAGUAGGUUCUCUGCCAAGCUUUACACGGGAGCCUGAUGAGACAUGGUAUUCCGCAUAUAUCUUAACUCGUCAAGGUCUGAGAUAUGAGUGCUCAAGUGUUUCCGAAGUACAGGUUGAUUCAUGGCUAAAGGCAUUGCAAACUGACAUCAAGUUGUUUUCUGAGACAAAAGCUCCCUCAUGGUUCCAGUGAUGUGUAAAAUCUGCAUGUUUUUAACAAAUUAAAUUUAACAUGAAGUUACCAUUCUUGCGUGUUGUUAUACCUUUGAGCUCUUCAUCCUAUAUGAAUGAUCAAAGCAGAUCAAAGGUGACCUGUUAGGCUGUUGUCUCUCCCAUAAAGUAAAAUAUACAUGGUUACAUCAUCUUCUUAUAGUUUAUUUUAUUUCGUUACAGUUUGUUUGCCGUUUUAGCAUUUUUCACUUACGGUAAGAUGUCAUUAAGGACUGGCCAAAAGACACAGGUUUUGAGCUUCUUGGCUUGCCAAUUACCAAGACUCCAAGCAAGCAGAACUUACAAAUUCUCUGCCUUCGACCAAGCAUACAUGUCCAGCUCAAGACAUAAAUGGAUUUCCCCUUGCUGAGUUCCAGUCUGAAUUAUGCUUGCAAAACAAAUCUCUAUAGAUACUUCGGUUUAAGUUAGUAUUCGAGUUUCUUAUGCUCAAGUGACAAGCAUAAAAAUCAAAAAGAUGAGAGUUGUAUUUUUUAUAUGUAGAUAGAUUAGUAGAGUGUCUUCUAGUGUUGUUGAGAUAAAACCAUUCUUUCUCUCUCUUCUUCAA
This is an RNA transcript of Populus euphratica (Euphrates poplar), 1340 nucleotides long. RefSeq lists it as uncharacterized. The transcript is spliced from 9 exons. Lineage: Eukaryota; Viridiplantae; Streptophyta; Magnoliopsida; Malpighiales; Salicaceae. The record is from RefSeq and is a predicted model, not a curated record.